Long non-coding RNA from Clupea harengus (Atlantic herring), 423 nucleotides. RefSeq lists it as uncharacterized. The record is from RefSeq and is a predicted model, not a curated record. The transcript has 4 exons. NCBI's taxonomy places the organism in Eukaryota, Metazoa, Chordata, Actinopteri, Clupeiformes, Clupeidae.
GAAAAUUAGAUAUAGUCUCAGAGGAUCAGUGAAUACAUUCUAUAAGAUCUGGAGCCCUUUUAGCCAAGAUUACCGCACCCGCUCUAUUUUCCUAUCACUAUCGUAUCGUCAUACUGAGGAGAAAUAAAGCCAUUGUGUGAAACUCCUGGUCUGACUGUAUAUCAUCCAGCAUCUGCACAACUGAGGGUCGUUACGGUUUGUGAACCUGAGGAUCCCAUUGGAAGAACUGGUCCACCCAUCACCUCGCCCAUCAGUGAAGUUACAGCCAGUCAAGUAGUACAUAGCUGAUGGUCAAAGUGAACACCUCCACAACAUCAUGCAACCAACAACUAAUCUGCUUUCAUCUUUCCAGAAGAGAGGCGACCACACGACCUCUUAGAACCUCCACUCUGAUAUGUUGACUGACAGACAUAACACCACUAC